GUUGGGAGACUGAAUGGGAAUACUAGGUGCUGUAAGCUUUUUAUUUGGAUCAGUGUUUUCAUGGCCUCUGCACAACAUCCUGUUUUGGGAUAAAGGUUGGACACAGGUUUGAAGGGGACAAUCAAUCAAUCAAUCAAUCAAUCAGUCAGUCAGUCAGUCAGUCAGUCAGUCUUUUGAUUACACUAUUUAAAUAGGCCCCAUUUGGGGUCAGCUUUCGCUUACGGCCAUACCACUCUGAAAAAGCCUGAUCUCAUCUGACCUCGGAAGCAAAGCAGAGUUGGGCCUGGUUAGUACUUGGUUGGGAGACUGAAUGGGAAUACUAGGUGCUGUAAGCUUUUUAUUUGGAUCAGUGUUUUCAUGGCCUCUGCACAACAUCCUGUUUUGGGAUAAAGGUUGGACACAGGUUUGAAGGGGACAAUCCCAAUCAAUCAAAUCAUCAGUCAGUCAGUCUUUUGAUUACACUAUUUAAAUAGCCCCAUUUGGGGUCAGCUUUCGCUUACGGCCAUACCACUCUGAAAAAGCCUGAUCUCAUCUGACCUCGGAAGCAAAGCAGAGUUGGGCCUGGUUAGUACUUGGUUGGGAGACUGAAUGGGAAUACUAGGUGCUGUAAGCUUUUUAUUUGGAUCAGUGUUUUCAUGGCCUCUGCACAACAUCCUGUUUUGGGAUAAAGGUUGGACACAGGUUUGAAGGGGACCCAAUCAAUCAAUCAAUCAGUCAGUCAGUCAGUCAUCUUUUUGAUUACACUAUUUAAAUAGCCCCCAUUUGGGGUCAGCUUUCGCUUACGGCCAUACCACUCUGAAAAAGCCUGAUCUCAUCUGACCUCGGAAGCAAAGCAGAGUUGGGCCUGGUUAGUACUUGGUUGGGAGACUGAAUGGGAAUACUAGGUGCUGUAAGCUUUUUAUUUGGAUCAGUGUUUUCAUGGCCUCUGCACAACAUCCUGUUUGGGAUAAAG
Long non-coding RNA from Ictalurus punctatus (channel catfish), 952 nucleotides. The record is from Ensembl. NCBI's taxonomy places the organism in Eukaryota, Metazoa, Chordata, Actinopteri, Siluriformes, Ictaluridae.